GUAGGUGGCAAGCGUUGUCCGGAAUUAUUGGGCGUAAAGCGCGCGCAGGCGGUUCUUUAAGUCUGAUGUGAAAGCCCACGGCUCAACCGUGGAGGGUCAUUGGAAACUGGAGAACUUGAGUGCAGAAGAGGAAAGCGGAAUUCCACGUGUAGCGGUGAAAUGCGUAGAGAUGUGGAGGAACACCAGUGGCGAAGGCGGCUUUCUGGUCUGUAACUGACGCUGAGGCGCGAAAGCGUGGGGGAGCAAACAGGAUUAGAUACCCUGGUAGUCCACGCCGUAAACGAUGAGUACUAAGUGUUAGGGGGUUUCCGCCCCCCUUAGUGCUGCAGCUAACGCAUUAAGCACUCCGCCCUGGGAGUACGGCCGCAAGGCUG
This 374-nucleotide ribosomal RNA is filed under the name uncultured organism. RNAcentral describes it as "partial 16S ribosomal RNA". It matches the Rfam family "Bacterial small subunit ribosomal RNA", at positions 527 to 896 of the family's 1533-position model. The record is from RNAcentral.